Molecule: long non-coding RNA, 5219 nt
Filed under: Brassica napus (rape)
Lineage: Eukaryota; Viridiplantae; Streptophyta; Magnoliopsida; Brassicales; Brassicaceae
Description: long non-coding RNA (BNAP_LNC000227)
Source: RNAcentral
GAAAAUUUCGCAAGAGAAUUUUCAGGGAUCAAUGUGAAUCAUGUUCCAGCUCAGCCUGGUAGCCCCAGUGUUAACCCUGGGAUAGUGAAAGGUGCUGAUGUUGAACCAGAAGCUUCUUCGGGAUCAAACAUUCCGAUGAAAGAUGACCUGGUGGUUGGUGAAGUUGAGCCUGUUGUUCCUAACACUGUUGUGCCUAACACUCUUACUCCAUCUUCAUCUUCGUCAUCAUUCAACAUAAUCGAGUUCCCAAAUAUGCCUACUACUGUUGAGGCCUUGGGUGGCGGUUCCUCAUCUGCAAAGAACAUCCCCGUUCCUCUACAAGAGGAUAUUGAGAAGAAUGACGUCGAGAUAACCAUGCUCAAGGAGCUGGAGGAGAUGGGUUUCAAAGAGAUUGAUCUGAACAAGGAAAUCCUGAGGGACAACGAGUACAACUUGGAGCAGUCUGUUGACGCUCUCUGUGGAGUUAAAGAGUGGGAUCCUAUCCUAGAGGAGCUUCAGGAAAUGGUAAGUGUGAAUUGAAGAUUGGAAAACCAGAUUGAGAGGGAUGUUUGACAAUGUGAUAAUUUCUGCAGGGGUUCUGUGAUGAUCUGACGAACAAGAGGCUGCUGAAGAAGAACAAUGGAAGCAUUAAAGGCGUGGUGAUGGAUCUUCUCACUGGGGAGAAGGAGAAGGAGGCUUAGUGUGGCGUUCGAUUCUGGGAGAACUUUUAUCUAUAUCAGGACAAAGGUUAUGUUUUAUAAAUAAUAAAAACCUGAUGAUGAUGUAGUGUGGUUUCGAACUUUGGUGUGUUCCUUUGCUUCUUUCUUUCGUGUUGGAUGUGGAUGAUAUGAUGUUACUACUAAUCUUAAAUAAGUAUAAGACUUUAUUUAUGCUAUCAUCAAUCUUCUUAUUUUGAAUGCAACCGUGUCUUUGUUAUCGAUUUCAUUCACUUGACCGCCCUCUCCUCCAUGUCCAGUUGAUUACAUUUUUGCUUUUGAUUCUUACAUGCAAUUUAUAUUAUUCCUGAACGUAGUGAUUCAUUCACCUGCACGACUUUAUCUUUAUGAAAAAACUGCUGGCAACCAAAUGAGUAAAUUGAAGAUAAUCAAUAUGGAAUUCACUUUCUUUUCUACGUUUACAAGUUUGAAGGAGUAAGUAAUUGCAUCUUGACUUUGUUUAAAAUCUCCUGGACGAACGAUUAAACAAACUCCUAAGGCUAUUUCUGCUGUCCCUAUUUUUCUUCUUGAUGGCCUUAUCCGCAGAGAAAGUAUGCUCUUCCAAAGUGAGUGCCCGUUCCAGUUUCUUAGAUACAGAAAGAAUCUCGUACGGAUCCCACAAGGACUGUCCAUACUCCCAAUCCAAGAACGAAGGAUGAUGAUGGUGAUGCUUCUUUGUACUGGACAAGGCCUCCAUUUUGAAACGUGAAGGUUUACCUUUGACAAAAGCAUGCUUUCUCCGCGCUUCGAACUCCAAAACUGUGCUUUUAGAGGUUUGGGAGUGGCUGAGCCAAGCCUGUGCUGCUGCUUUCAUCAGCUCCACUCUCUUCUUCUCUUCUUCGUUUUCAUCUUUAGCCUCUCGUUUCUUCCUCAUCUGUUUCCUUCUCCAUUUGGGAGGGGACUUUUGGGGCUCUAAGCUAUUAUUAUGGACCCAAUUUUAUGUCAGCUUUAAAUGGCAGCCUUAUGUUUCUUGUCCGAAUCUGCUAACUUCUGUCCGUCUCAUCCUUUUCCAUUUAUUUCUUUUUAAUUUUUUCAAUACAUUUGUUGUAUAAUAAAAGGUGGGAGAUGACUUAGAAUGUAAUAAAAAGAUGAAAAGUAUUUUAGAGUGAAAAUAACUCAGGGAAAAAUGCCAAUUUCGAUCCCAACUAUUUCAGUCGUGCCAAAUACGACCCGAACAAUUGAUCAGUGCCAAAUACGACAUCAACUCAAUUAUAAUUCAAAAAAACUACCAGAACUUCUUAAAACGUGCCUAAAUCUACAUUGACUCUAACAGAAGUUAGUCAACCGUUAAAAAAUAAAACGAUGUCGUUUUGAUAUACGAGGAAAAGUGUCAAUUUCGACCCAAACACUCUCAGUCGUGCCAAAUAAGACCCGAACAAAUGGUCAGUGCCAAAAACGACCUCAACUCAAUUAUAUUUUAAGAAAAAUUACCCAAUUUUUUUAAAACGUGUUUAAAUCUACAUUAACUCUAACAGAAGUUAAUCAACCUUUAACAAAGAUAAGACGACGUUGUUUUGAUAUAUGUAUUUUCUUAAAAAAAUAUGUUCAUUUUGGGAUUCAAAUCCGUGCUGGGAUAUCCUUUUAAAGGGGCACACUAACAACUAGACUAAAAUAAUUUUUUGAAAUAUUAUUACAAAUUGAAAUUCUCCAUUAUAUAAACUACUAUUCUUCUUCAUCUUAUCCAAUUUAAAACUUUGGUGAUUGCUUUAUACAUUUUAGUUAUUGUUUAAUUUGUCUAAUAUUUUGUACAACAUAUCUUAGUGAAAGAAAGGUAAAAGGCCUCUUAACAUUUUUGAACAAAAUAUCAAAAUAUAUAAUAUCAACUUUGAAAACUAAAAAAAUUCCCACUUAAUUUUAAAAAUUAAAAAUAAUUUAUAUAAGAAAAUUGUAUAAAUAAAUUCAAAGUUGUAAGCAUAUUUAAGAUCGUAUAAUAAUAAAUAUUUUAUUAUUUAUAUUUUAGUAAGAUAUAAUUUUAUUAAAGAUAUGAUAAAUAAGAAAAACACGUUAAUGUAUUUAUAUAAAUCAGAAAAAAUUGUCACCAAAAUUUUAAAUUGGAUAAGAUGAAGAAUAAUAAUAGUUUAUAUAAUUUCAAAUUUGUAAUAGUAUUUUAUCUAUUAUCUUCUAGAAGCACAAACCCUAAGAAAUAUUUAAAAAAUGUAUUUAUUUUACCCAAAUUCAUAUUUUUUCUCCCAUAUGGUGCUUAAUCGUGAUCCCUAAUCUUGUUUUGUUCUUUUAAUUUGUUUAUUUGCAUGUUGUUUGAUUCAUUUUAAGUGAGCUUUGUGUUCAUUGCAGGUGAGUUAUGGAGGUGUGCUUAGGCGCUUCAGGGUGCCUUUCAAAGCUAAUGGACAGCUUGAUCUUGACAUGGCUUCUCUUAGGGGAAAGAUUGCUGCUUUGUUUAACCUCCCUCUGGAUGCUGAGUUCUCUCUCACUUACUCUGAUGAAGAUGGGGAUGUGGUGGCCCUUGUUGAUGACAACGACCUCUUCGAUGUCACGAAUCAGCGUCUUAAGUUCUUGAAGAUUACUGUGCAGUCGAACGCUGGUGUGCCGACCAACUCUGUUGCUCCAGAGAGCAGUGGGAGUUCGUCAGCCUCGGUUAUGCCUGAUAGCCAGGACCCGGUUUCUAAGAUCCAGAAGGGUUUCAAUGAUGUUAUGAUGGCUGUGCCGAACCACAUGCGUGAUACCAUUUCCAAGGUGUAUAUUGACCUUACAUCUAAGGCGGCGUCUUCGAGCCCUGUGGUUGGUGAGCUGUUUGAUUGCAUCAACAAGCUAGGGAAGCUCUCAAGCCCUCAGGAAAGUAGUCCUUGCUCUCCUGUUACUAAGCCUGGCUCGUCAGGGCCUUCUUUGAGCAGGGAGGUUCCUUCCGCUGGUGAAAAGAAGGAUGUAUCUAAGAAGACCCAAGCUGGAAAAAAACCUGUUGCUGAUUCAACCUCCUCUGGACUUGGUGCUAGUUUCAACGAGUGUCCCUUCAGUGGCAGUACCGUGAUUGAUUCCACUCCAAAUCCAAAUCCAACGAAUCUCAACAGGCAUGCCCGUCGUGUAUGUCACUCCAAAAAGACCAACAAUGGUGAUUACUGGAACUCACUGGGUGUCUUCCAUAAGGGUAUCCGUUGUGAUGGAUGUGGAGUUCUUCCAAUAACUGGGCCUAGAUUCAAGUCUAAAGUGUAAGGAGAUCUCUUACUUGCAAAUGUAGAAACUGCAGAUACAUCUUUCGAGUUUAUUAUGCUUACUUGUUUCUCUGGUGAAUAUUUUGCAGCAAAGAAGACUAUGAUCUUUGCACCAUCUGUUUUUCCGUGAUGGGCAAUGAAGGGGAUUAUACAAGAAUGGAUAAGCCCGUCUCAGCUCAACAGCUACAUCCCUUCAGAGGACUUCCUACCCCAGUAUUACUCUUUUUCUGUGUUUAAGUUUCCUUUUCUUCUAUACCUUUUCUUUCUGUAUUUACAGCUAUAUGGAGAUCUUACGUUUCUUCCUUUCUUUCAUAUAGUUUUCAAAUCCUUGGUUGGGACAUGUGCCGCGACCACACCACGGAGGUUUACAUUUCAGGUGUACUCGGCCUAAGCUAGACAGUCGCUUUGUCCUUGAUGUCAAUGUACUUGAUGGAACCGUUGUUGCUCCAUCUGCCCCAUUCACCAAGAUCUGGAAAAUGAGGAACAAUGGUUCGCUGGUGUGGCCACAUGGCACGCAGAUCGUUUGGAUCGGUGGGGACAGAUUCAGCAGCUCUUUGUCAGUUGAUUUACAGGUUAGAAACUAUAUCCUUAGUUUUGCCAUUUAUUUUGCUUGAUACCUACCCUGAAGUUCCACUUACAGAUCAAUCAUGAUGUUUGAAGUUGCUCUUAGUGGCUUGAGUUAGCUUCUUCUCUACAGAAAGUGGCAAUAGUUUCUUUAUAUAUAUAUACAACACUAAUUUUUUAUUGGUGUCAGCAGAUUCCAGUGGAGGGUGUGCCUAUCAACAGUGAGCUUGACGUGAAAGUUGAAUUUGUUGCACCAGAGUCACCUGGCCGAUACAUAUCUUAUUGGAGGAUGGCUUCCUCUAAUGGUGCCAAGUUUGGGCAACGUGUUUGGGUGUUGAUACAUGUACUGGCUAGAUCUCUGCUGCCAUUUUCCUGGAAUUUUGUUUUUCUCAAUCAUCUGAUUUUUUUUUUUUUGCUGGUUGCGUGGUCAGGUUGAUGCAUCCUUGAAGGGCUCUGUUGUGAACGAGUUUCAUGGACUGAACUUGAAUGCCUCUCCUGAAGAAAAUUUCGCAAGAGAAUUUUCAGGGAUCAAUGUGAAUCAUGUUCCAGCUCAGCCUGGUAGCCCCAGUGUUAACCCUGGGAUAGUGAAAGGUGCUGAUGUUGAACCAGAAGCUUCUUCGGGAUCAAACAUUCCGAUGAAAGAUGACCUGGUGGUUGGUGAAGUUGAGCCUGUUGUUCCUAACACUGUUGUGCCUAACACUCUUACUCCAUCUUCAUCUUCGUCAUCAUUCAACAUAAUCGAGUUCCCAAAUAUGCCUACUACUGUUGAGGCCUUGGGUGGCGGUUCCUCAUCUGC